RNA transcript from Pistacia vera, 1908 nucleotides. RefSeq lists it as uncharacterized. The record is from RefSeq and is a predicted model, not a curated record. The transcript has 3 exons. Lineage: Eukaryota; Viridiplantae; Streptophyta; Magnoliopsida; Sapindales; Anacardiaceae.
CCUUACCUAUUUCACCAAAUUCCCAAUCUCAUAACCUAGCUCUUCUCUUCUCCACGCAAAUCCCUACCUAUUUCCCCAAAUUCCCAAUCUCAUAGCCUUACCUACCUCUUCUCUUCUCCACGCAAAUCCCUCCCUGUUUCCCCAAAUUCCCAAUUUCUUCUCCACGCAAAUCCCUGGCGAUUACCUCAAUAGGUUAUAUGUUUGUCAACCAUAUGCCAAUUUUUGUCAUGACCAAGUUUUGUGCACGGUUUUCCUGAUCUGCUUUGUUUUGUUGAUUAUUUGUUGAAGGUUGAUGGUCUUGUUGGCAAAAAUCAUCUCUUUAAGCGUAGCAUUAUUCUGAUCAAAGCUUGGUGUUAUUAUGAAAGUAGAAUUCUUGGUGCUCAUUAUGGUUUGAUUUCAACUUACGCUUUAGAAACGUUGGUCCUCUGUAUCUUCCAUCUAUUUCAUUCUUCUUUAGAUGGCCCUUUGGCGGGAAGUAGUUGUGGGAAUCAACAUGGCCAAAUCUGUGCUAUGCAGAAUCUUAAAUUAGUUAAUGUUUUUUUCUUCUGUAUAGGUCCUCUAUCAAUUUUUGGAUUACUUCAGCAAAUUUGAUUGGGAGAAUUAUUGUGUUAGUUUAAAUGGCCUAGUUUGCAAAUCUUCCCUAGAUGUAGCAGCCAAAGAAGUACCUGAAAGCUGGAUGGACAAUUUAUUGCUAGGUGAAGAAUUUCUGCAAGAAUGUGCUGACAAGUUCUCUGUUCGAUCAAGGGGGCCUGAGACAAACACUCGAGCAUUUCCUCAAAAGCAUCUUAAUAUAAUAGAUGCUUUAAAAGAAAACAAUAAUCUUGGGCGGAGUGUCAACAGAGGUAGGGGAGUGUUUCAUUCUGCUGAAAUGGGUUUGAACUAACAUGUUUCUACGUUUUCUGUGCUUAAUGUUUUGAGGUAACUGUUCUAUCAAUAUUUGAGGUAGAAUCUCAUUUACGAUCUUGAUUUUUUAAAACAUAUUCAUUUUAAUGAAAAAAAAAAAAAAAAAAGAAUCUUAUUCAGCAAACUUCUUGUAAUGAAUUUGGUAAGUUUUUUAAUUAAGUGGAACUUUGAAGUUGGGCAACACUAGAUUCUAUUAUAUUUUCUGCUCUGGCAAUAGCAAAGGCCAGUAAAAGCAGAAAGUUUUAGGUGAAAGGAUUGGUUUCCUUCAUUCGCUUUGUUUGCAUUCCAUGACUAUCAUGGUAUUACUAACUCCAUUUCUAUAGUAUCAACCAAAGAAAUAGCUGCCAGUGGCAGAACUACUUCUGCAGCACGCAGUACUUCCAUUAACAAAUGCAAUUUUUUCUGCUGUAACCUACAUUACCCUUAUUUUUUGGCUUCUCGAAUGUUAGUUGAAAAUCACAGCACUGUUUUCACUAUAGUACCUUUAUUUUUUCAUUUGAUAUAAUUGUAGAGUCACCAUUUUAUUACAUCACAUGCUUUAGUACCUUUCUUCUGAUUGUUAUUAAGUGUAUACUAUAUUGGCUCCUUCAUCUCAUAAAGUGCUUUAGAGUACACAAUCAUGUGUACCUUGCUUCUUGUUUUUCUCUUCUCGUCUGCUGUUGUGAUGGACUCUGCAGGUAAUUUCUAUAAAAUAUGCAGUGCUUUUAAAUACGGAGCUCGUAAGCCGGGCCAAAUUCUAUUGUUGCCACAUGAAAGAUUAGUGGAUGAACUCAACAAGUUCUUUGCAAACACUUUGGAGAGACAUGUGAUAGUUAUGCACAGAUAGAUAGGUAGUGGGCUGAAAAUGUGGGUGCAUGCUGUUUUUUUUUUGUUAUGCACAUGUGAUAGUGCAUUUUGGAUUUUUAUUGCCCAUCAUGCAUAAAAAUCCAUGUAUGGACUAUAUAUAUAUGUAUGAAAAUAUGAUAUUUGAUGUUAAUGAUCAGAUUUUAUAUUGUGUCAAUUGAA